AAUUUAAGACCGAGCUAAACCACAGCUUAAACUUAACCAUCACAGACGCAGCUAUCGGAAAACUUGCUGGCUCAACUCGAGCACUGUUAAAUUUAAGGCUGAAUUAAAACACACCCUAACCUUAGCCAUCACAGAUGCAGCUAUCGGAAAACUUGCUGGCUCAACUCAAGUACUGCUAAAUUUAAGGCUGAAUUAUAACACACCUUAAACUUAACCAUCACAGACCCAAACUUAACCAUCACAGACCCAGUAAUUGCAGUCUAACGAUGACACUUACCGUCUUUGGGACAAGGCAGUCUGGCUGAGACAGGACUUCAUGGCGGAACGCGAUGCUGGGUCGGGAUCGUCGGACUCUGAAUUUCGAGCUGUGGUCUGCAUGUGUGGUGCCUCCCCUUCCGUAGAUGAGCUGGGGGCAUCAACCGUCAGACCCCCCUGUGGCUCUGGUGGCAGCACACCUCUCUCCUGGAGCCUCAUGACAUACCUGCCGACAUGCAUUGGUGGGAGAAGUGAAGCCUUUGCACAUCGGCUGUUGGAUUGCUAAGAGGGACACUUGAAGCCCCGAGGAAGAACCGGUCCUUGUCGUCUCUACUGGAGCUUGGGCCUUUAAAUAUUCUGGCCGGAUAUGAACAAACUCCUUUGGACAGCGUUACAGUGACUCCGUCUGCCUCUGGCACUCUGUCGUUCCACUCCUGGACCUGUGAAAACAUUCAAACAGAAACAAUAAGG
Long non-coding RNA from Carassius gibelio (silver crucian carp), 726 nucleotides. RefSeq lists it as uncharacterized. The transcript has 4 exons. The record is from RefSeq and is a predicted model, not a curated record. NCBI's taxonomy places the organism in Eukaryota, Metazoa, Chordata, Actinopteri, Cypriniformes, Cyprinidae.